Molecule: long non-coding RNA, 1555 nt
Organism: Felis catus (domestic cat)
Lineage: Eukaryota; Metazoa; Chordata; Mammalia; Carnivora; Felidae
Exons: 3
Source: RefSeq, a predicted model, not a curated record
GUGACACCCAGGCGCCCCUGCAGGUGUGUUUAAAGCUGACCAGCUGCUUCCCGGUCACCGCAGGAGCUGACCCUGCUGGCUGGAUGCCAUCCACUCUGUCCCCUGCUCCUCGCUGAACCCCCGUGGAAGGGGCUGGGUCCUCCCUCACAGAAAGAAAGCAGGUGAUGAGAGGCCACGACAGUGUCCUGAGGUCCCCCAGCUGGCAAGAGCUAGGACAAGUGCACCUUUGAGGCAGGCAAUUGGCAAAGCGCUCCCCAGAUGCCGCAGGACAAUGGGGUCUGGCUGGCAGCUGUCCUCGAGGCGGGCAAAACUAGUGUAUGCAUUUGAUAGGUGGGAAGACUGAGGCCCCGAGAGGUUCAGUGACUUCCCCAAGGUCACACGGCGAGUCAGCGGUAGAGCUGCGAUCUGAACCUGACUCUGGAACUGCACUCCACGCUCCCUUACCUAUUCCCAGUGGCCUCGGCUCUGAAGGGCAGGAACUGGGUCCUGUGGCCCUUGGAACCUCCACCAUAUAUACCAUCAUGUAAACGUGUUUGUUGAGUGAAUAAAUGAGUGAAUUAUGCACUCCUUGUCCUUUAAAACACAGUACAGUCAACCAGUCUGCUGGCACAAAUCUGGAGUGUUUCUGGUCGGGGAUGAAGGGGAGAGAGGAGUGAAUCUCCUGGGGGACCCAGAGGUGACAAGCCUCUCAGUAGUUCCAACUCGGGGGCCAUUACUAGGGACCCUCUGAUCUCCCCCCCCCUCCUUGCUCACCAGUCUGUUAUAUUGGGGUUCUGUGUCAUGUAUACAGAGGGCACAGAGCCAUGAUUUGGUUUUAUGUGGUGUCUUGAGACUUUCCAGUGAGAUAAUGGAUUACUGUUGACCCAACAUCUGGGCAAAAAGAGCCUGCUAUGCGUGGUCAUCCAAGUCAGCUUCUGGAGGUGGCCAAAGUGAGACAUGAAGGGAAGGGGGCCAUGAUGGACCCUGCACCUGUGGCCAGUGAGAGCAGCAUUUGCUGUAUGCAAGUAUGGUUCUGAGCUCUUGACGCAUUUAAUCCUGAGCACAGCUCCACGAAAUUGUGCCGGUGAAUGAGGCCAAGUAAUGUGCCCAAAGUCACACAGCAGCAGGAGUUGGGCAGGGAAUUCAGCCUUCACCACGCCAUGCCCUUAACCCUGGGGCAACGCUGCUUCCCUGUGGCACAGCGGGCUAACCCGCUGUGAGCACAUGAGUGGGUGUUGGGGGAGAAUCCACGGAUCUGCACUGCCUGGUGCCUCCUACAGGGGGCUACGGCCCAUGGGCCCCCGAUUCAUCCGCAUCAGAUGACGUCCCCUUCUCGCUCCCGUGGAGCGUGGCUGGGCCCCGAGUACGCACUCCAAACACAUUCAUAAAACCAGUGACCGAACAGACGUCUGGGGGUGGGGGGAACAGCCAUUAUGGAAGUUCGAGGCCUUGGAGUUCACACCCUCACAAUCCUACGUGUGCAUCCACUUCUCCCAAAUAUAUCAUCUCAGAUCUGCUUGAGAAGAGAUGUCCAGUGCCAGCUCCGUGACCCAUUAAAGCUAACCAGCCGUGCGGA